UUUUUUUUUUUUUUUUUUUUGAGACAAAGUCUCGCUCUGUUCCCCAAGCUGGAGUGCAGUGGUGCCAUCUCCGCUCACUGGAUGCUCCGCAUCCCAGGUUCAUGCCAUUCUCCUGCCUCUGCCUCCCAAGUAGCUGGGACUACAGGUGCCCGCCACCAUGCCCAGCUAAUUUUUUGUAUUUUUAGUAGACAUGAAGUUUCAUCGUGUUAGCCAGGAUGGUCUCAAUCUCCUGACCUCAUGAUCCACCCACCUCGGCCUCCCAAAGUGCUGGGAUUACAGGCAUGAUCCACCGCGCCCAGUCGCAUCUCAGAAAUUUUGAUAAUUUGUAUUUUCAUUUAUUUCAAAAUAUAUUUUCUCUUGAGACUUCUUUGACCUAUGUGUUUAAAAGUGUGCUCCUUAAUCUACAAGUAUUUUGGGAUUUUCCAGGUAUUUUCUAAUUUAAUUCCUUUGUAGUUAAAGACAUACAUUCUAUGGUGUCUUUUAUUAAAAGUUAAUUACCCCUUUAUCACCAUAUGUUGCUUGAUCAUUUUCCUUGUUCUGAAGUCAGCUUUGUAUGAAAUUAAUAUAGCUACUCCAGCUUUCUUUUCAUGAGUGUAGUUUGAUAUGUUAGUCUAUCUAGGCUACCCUAACAAAAUACCAUACACUAGGUGACUUAAACAACAUAAAUUUUCUUUUUCUCAAAUUUCUGAAGACUGGAAGUCUGGGAUCAGGGUGUCAUCACAAUUUCUGGGGAAGGCUUUCUCAUUUGUAGACAGCUACCUUCUAGUCGUAUCUUCACAUGGCAAAGAGAGCAAGCUCUCUGUGUCCCUUCUUAUAAGGACACUAACCUUAUGUUAGUCAUGGUGCCACCUAACCUUAAUUAUCUUCCAAGAUCCCUAUCUGCAAAUACUAUCACACUGGGGGUUAGGGCUUCAACAUACAAAUUUGGGGAACAGGGGGAACACGAACAUUCAGUCCAUUAACACAGGAUGUAUCUUUCUCCAUCUUUGUAUUUAAAGUGGAUUUCUUGUUUAGUCUUGUUUUUUAAUCUUCUGUGACAGUAUCUGUGUAUUUGUGUAUUUAGACAACUCACAUUUAAACUGAUUGAUAUAAAUUACUAUAUCUGUUAAUGUUUUCUAUUAAUUGCUCUUCUUUUGUUCUUGUCUUCCACUUUUCUGCCUUCUCUAAGUUUAAUCUAGCAUCCUGUACAAUUCCAUUGUCUCUGCUCUCUUACCAGGAUUAAACAGAUAUGUAACAAUCUACCAUCAUGUGAACUGGCUCUCUGAUUGUUGCAAAAUAAGAUUAAAAUGGAUGAACUUCUGGACACAGUCAAAUGAUAGAAGAGAAUAAUUAUGUAACAUGAAAAAUAACAGCAUGUAUCAAAUAGUGGUUACCCCAAGGCAGAGAGGACGACCUAGAUAGGAAAUACCAAAGGACAUUUCACUUUUAUCUGUAAUAUCUGCAUUUAUUUCUUGUAUAAUAAAAAAUAAAUUAAAAAUUUUACAUCUCUACAAGCUAAAAAAAAAAAAGGCAAGAUUCCAUCAAAACAAAGUUGUAGGAUAAACAAUAAUCUAGGAAAAGUAUUAAGAAUAUUAAAAAUAAGCCAUUAGCAACUUUUCACUU
Molecule: long non-coding RNA, 1602 nt
Filed under: Macaca fascicularis (crab-eating macaque)
Lineage: Eukaryota; Metazoa; Chordata; Mammalia; Primates; Cercopithecidae
Description: lncRNA (ENSMFAG00000052636.1)
Source: RNAcentral